UUAGACUAUGUGCAAUGGUGGUGUUGAAUGUAUAUUCAACUGCAUAAUGUGUGUUGAAACCAUUGGAGCAGCCAUGUUGAAUCUGAGCCGGAUGAAAGAGGAGAUGAAUAUAUUCAACUCAGUUGAAACUGACACGGGGGGACAGCUGGCGCGCUUCCAUUUGCCCAGACAGGCGCGUGUGGCACAUGCGCCAACAAACCGCGUGAAGAAGCAUUGGACGCAGAGAGAGAAACUUUGUUUGGAUAAAGCAGGCCACGUGACUGCUGCUGAUUGGUCCGGUGGAUUUUUAUGAUUUUUAUCCUUUGAACUCAAUUAUUU
This 318-nucleotide long non-coding RNA is filed under the name Trifolium pratense (red clover). Its description in RNAcentral is "long non-coding RNA (TPRA_LNC012813)". Lineage: Eukaryota; Viridiplantae; Streptophyta; Magnoliopsida; Fabales; Fabaceae. The record is from RNAcentral.